RNAcentral lists this ribosomal RNA (612 nucleotides) under Dujonia zeylanoides. Its description in RNAcentral is "LSU rRNA". It matches the Rfam family "Eukaryotic large subunit ribosomal RNA", at positions 1 to 634 of the family's 3401-position model. The record is from RNAcentral. Lineage: Eukaryota; Fungi; Ascomycota; Pichiomycetes; Serinales; Debaryomycetaceae.
UCAAAUCAGGUAGGACUACCCGCUGAACUUAAGCAUAUCAAUAAGCGGAGGAAAAGAAACCAACAGGGAUUGCCUCAGUAACGGCGAGUGAAGCGGCAAAAGCUCAAAUUUGAAAUCUAGCACUUUCAGUGUUCGAGUUGUAAUUUGAAGAAGGUAACUUUGGUUUUGGCUCUUGUCUAUGUUCCUUGGAACAGGACGUCACAGAGGGUGAGAAUCCCGUGCGAUGAGAUGCCCAAUUCCAUGUAAAGUGCUUUCGAAGAGUCGAGUUGUUUGGGAAUGCAGCUCUAAGUGGGUGGUAAAUUCCAUCUAAAGCUAAAUAUUGGCGAGAGACCGAUAGCGAACAAGUACAGUGAUGGAAAGAUGAAAAGAACUUUGAAAAGAGAGUGAAAAAGUACGUGAAAUUGUUGAAAGGGAAGGGCUUGAGAUCAGACUUGGUAUUUUGCGUUCCCUUCCUUUUUGGUUGGGUUCCUCGCAGUUUACUGGGCCAGCAUCGGUUUGGAUGGUAGGAUAAUGACAUUGGAAUGUAGCUUUACUUCGGUGAAGUGUUAUAGACUUUGUUGAUACUGCCUAUCUAGACCGAGGACUGCGUCUUUGACUAGGAUGCUGGCGUAA